UGAGUAGCUGAGAUUACAGAUUCUUCGGAGGAGGCCCCUCCAGCCACUCAGAACUUCAUCAUUCCAAAAAAGGAGAUCCACACAGUUCCAGACAUGGGCAAAUGGAAGCGUUCUCAGGCAUACGCUGACUACAUCGGAUUCAUCCUUACCCUCAACGAAGGUGUGAAGGGGAAGAAACUGACCUUCGAGUACAAAGUCUCUGAGGCCAUUGAGAAACUAGUUGCUCUUCUCAACACGCUGGACAGGUGGAUUGAUGAGACUCCUCCAGUGGACCAGCCCUCUCGGUUUGGGAAUAAGGCAUACAGGACCUGGUAUGCCAAACUUGAUGAGGAAGCAGAAAACUUGGUGGCCACAGUGGUCCCCACCCAUCUGGCAGCUGCUGUGCCUGAGGUGGCUGUUUACCUAAAGGAGUCAGUGGGGAACUCCACGCGCAUUGACUACGGCACAGGGCAUGAGGCAGCCUUUGCUGCUUUCCUCUGCUGUCUCUGCAAGAUUGGGGUGCUCCGGGUGGAUGACCAAAUAGCUAUUGUCUUCAAGGUGUUCAAUCGGUACCUUGAGGUUAUGCGGAAACUCCAGAAAACAUACAGGAUGGAGCCAGCCGGCAGCCAGGGAGUGUGGGGUCUGGAUGACUUCCAGUUUCUGCCCUUCAUCUGGGGCAGUUCACAGCUGAUAGACCACCCAUACCUGGAGCCCAGACACUUUGUGGAUGAGAAGGCCGUGAAUGAGAACCACAAGGACUACAUGUUCCUGGAAUGUAUCCUGUUUAUCACCGAGGUGAGGAGGAGGGGUGAGAGAGAAGCCCAUGGCUGCUUCCAGGCUUAGAUGAACCGAGAAUGGUGGCUUUACAGUGGAUCAGAAGAGCCAGAGCUGCUGCCCAAAAUGGCAGGGCUGGCCGGAGUGGGGUAUUGAAAAGGAAGCACCACUGGGCCUCUCCUGAGUCAGCCGCUGCUGACUGUCAGGGCCUCCGCCCAGUUCUCCUUCAGUUUCUCCUAAACACCACAGGAGUCUCGAGAUGAGGGUCUAAGACUUGGUCACUAACUGGCCUUGGUGACUGCUGCAGCAGGUCUGAAAGGGUCAGGGUGGGGGAGAUUUGUGGGGGAGGGUCGGCAUCUUUCAGUGGAGCCCCACAAGGGUCUGUAGAACCAUGUGCUUGUGGAUGUGUAAAAUGAAACCACCAGAGGAGAUGGAGUGAACUUCUGGCACAGACAGCUUUUCUGUCGAAGGGACACGUCUCUGUCAGUGCCUGAGGACAUGGGCCCGAGCAAAGUGCCAGUGUGGGAGUAUGCAGGCCUGGCCUGUUGUGGCAGUCACUGGACAGCCAGCCCCAUGGCUGGGCUCUGGAACUGAAAGUUCUUGUCUCACUAAGGCAGGAUUCCUUAUAGUGGGCCCUGGACCACUUGUGCAAGGUCUCCUAGGGUGUUUGUUAAAAUGCACAUUCCUGGGCACCCCAUCCCAACUUACUGCAUCAGAAUCUUAGGGGACGAGAGCCAGGAACCUGCAUCUAAACACACUUGCCAGGUGACUGCACAGGAAAGCUGGGGACCCUCUGCUCUCUGGACCUCUCUUCAGGGAGAUGUUAGGACUUUUCAUCCUCCCUGCCAUCCCCAUGCCCCAGUUUCCAAAGGGUGCCCUAGCUCUGCUAUCUGGAGAGGGUUUGAGAGUUCUAUCCCUCCUCAGUUCCUUUCCUUACACCAGCACGGAUGUCUGCUGCCUCAGUGAGGUCCUUAGCAGGCCUGUGGACGCUGGCCAUGGGGGCUGCUGUCCGUCCGGGCUGUGUAUUCCGAGCCCCCGAAGAGGUGGAGAAAGCUGGGUUAUAACCAGCAGCCUUGGCUCCGAGCUCUUCCUGGUCAACAUUCGGCUCAGGCUUCUGCCAAACUCCAGGGGCCAGAGGGGAAUGACACAUUUUUUCCAAGUCAGCAAAUGGAGCCGGGCCUGAUGGCUGGGCGGCCACCGCUUCGUUCCUGGAGAUCUGCUGCCCUCAGCAGUGUGGCAGGCCCAAGGUCGGGAGGACUCGGGGGCAGCCUGGCUCACUGCCUUGAAAGCCAGUCACGCGCUGCUCUCUGUGGAGUGGAAUGUGGGGGUCUGUGGAGCCCUGGGGGACCUCAGGAUAAGCUGGAGGAGCAGGGUGGGAAGAAGGGUGCAGAUUCCAUACUUGAGCUCUUGCGUGUGGCUGAAAGGCUGAGCCGUUUGGGCUCCCCCUGGCGGCUGGCCAGGCCUCUGGAUCCCUGUCUAUAUUCUAACUAGGAGGCAGGCCAGGCCUGGCCUCCAGGAUUUUGGGAAUUGAUUCCAUGGUAAAAUUUUGUGUCUUUAGUUGGUUGGCUGAUGAUGUUGGUAUAAAAACCCCAAAAGCUUUUCCAAAGUUUGGGACCCAGUUCCUCCACUAGAGGAAAUCUCAAAGUAGCCACUAGGUGGCAGGAGAGGCACAUUGAACUUGGAGAGGGUUUGGUUACAUUUAUUUGAGGCCUCAGAAGGAACAGGGAGGGGAGGGCGUGCCUAGAGUUUUUGGCUGUUCCGCACCUUCUCCACAGGGCCGGGUUUUCACUUUGGGUCUAGGCUCUUGGGCAUGGUGUUCAACAGUGGGCGCUAGGAGGAGUGUGCCCAGGAGCUGAGGUGGCUGCAGCAAGGGCCCAUCUUGCCACGUGGCUGCUGGUUGGAGCACACGUUGUGUUGGUUCUCCAGAGCGCCCACCCUCUUCCACCUCGGAGCAGUGAGCAGCAUUUUGCAGCCCCUAGUUGAUGAAGACUGGCCCAUUUGCAGAGCACUCCAACCAGCUGUGGAACAUCAGCGCUGUCCCUUCCUGGUCCAAAGUGAACCAGGGUCUCAUCCGCAUGUAUAAGGCCGAGUGCCUGGAGAAGUUCCCUGUGAUCCAGCACUUCAAGUUCGGAAGCCUGCUGCCCAUCCAUCCUGUCACGUCGGGCUAGGAGGGGCUGAGCCGAAGAGCCACCCAGGCCACAGUUCCUGUGCCUGCCUUCCCCACCCCAGCAGUGGCCCCUCCCCAUCCCCUCCCUCUGUUCAUCCCGUUUGAUGAGAGGCUGUUUACUGGGGUGGGGUGGUGAGACGGGGUUGAGGGGGCUUGGAGCAUAAGGCUUCAGGGCCCAAGUUGGGAGAAGUGACCAAAGUGUAGCCGGUCUCCUGAGCUCCCCUGUGCUGGACUGGCCAGAAGAGAGGGUUUGGGGCCCGGUCACUCCGCCACCCUCUCCUGUUCCUAGCCUCUUCUCCCUUCGCUCCUGUCCAGUCUGGUUUUGAGAGCAGGGGCUGUUCUGCAGCACUGCAGGGAGGGGAGGGGAGAUACCCUGCUGCUUCCAUUGCUUUUCCUUUCCUGGAGUCAAUGCCUUUCUAAGGGUUGGAGUUGCUCCUUGCAGGGGCAGGUCAGUUUCCCAGGCCAUGCUGGGGUGGCCAUCUAUGCUAGGGCUGGAAGCUGAUGCUGGCUGCCAGCCAUGGGCUGGGGUGGGGUGGGGUGGUGGAGAGGCCUUAGCUGUCCUGGCUGGUGCCCCUCCCAGGCUCCUUUUCACCCUGCCCCCUGGGCCUGAGGCCCUCUGUGUCCAAGCCUCCUCCUGGCUCUUCUGUUCUCUAGCCCUUGACUUUGCUGGGUUUCCUGGCUAUAGCCACAUCUCUCCCGCUCCCCAAGGGUAGCAUAGCCAAUGGAAGCUGUCCUUUGGGUAGGUGCUGGGCUCCUGGGAGGGCCCAGCUGAUAGGGUGAGGCACGUCUUUCCAGAACCUUCCCUGGCAGGGAGGAGGGUGGCAGAAACUCAGGAAGGGGCUUGGGGCCCAUUGUAUCUGGAGAGCCUGGAUUCCUUUUGGCAGUCUUAGGCCCGGCAGCUUCUGCUACCUUUGUGCUGCUGCGAGUUUCACCCUGGGACUGUGGGCCCUGCUUCUCUGUUCCCCUGGGUGGUGGGUGGGCCCAGAAGGUGGCGGUCCCACGCCUUGUCCUCCCACCUCCCUGAACUGUCCAUUGCCUUUAUAGGGUGAGGUAAGUGACUGCCUCCCAAGCCCCGGCUUUGGCUCUGAGGAUGGGCCCAGAAGGGGGCUGGGCAGGCCCAUUGAGGGCCACCAAUUGAGGUUUCUCCUAGGGCUGUUUCUGGGCCUGCCUCUUACAGGCUUGUCCCCCAGGCCUGCCCUUCUCCACUGCCCCCUCCUGUGUCUGGGUCCACACACCCUUCGGGAAGGGGGAGCACUGAGAAGCACAACACAGGGGCUCGGCCUGGAAUCCGGUGAUGGUCUGGGCAGAGGCUGGGUCAGGAGUCCCAAAGGUCAGUGACAGUUUCUCACAAGAGGCCCAGUGUCCACCUCUCUCCCAGGGCCAGACACCCCUUCCUGGCUCCCCCAUCCCCCUUUGGGCUCCCAACCCCUUGCACCCUCACUGCUGUUCGGAUUAAAGCCUCUGUUUUGCACCUGUCA
RNA transcript from Piliocolobus tephrosceles (Ugandan red Colobus), 4398 nucleotides. It is a transcript of the gene named protein phosphatase 2 phosphatase activator, with no coding region annotated. The transcript is spliced from 10 exons. The record is from RefSeq and is a predicted model, not a curated record. NCBI's taxonomy places the organism in Eukaryota, Metazoa, Chordata, Mammalia, Primates, Cercopithecidae.